This is a long non-coding RNA of Bos taurus (domestic cattle), 1259 nucleotides long. The record is from Ensembl. NCBI's taxonomy places the organism in Eukaryota, Metazoa, Chordata, Mammalia, Artiodactyla, Bovidae.
GUCUGUGGGAGAUGGUGGUAGGGAGGAGGGGCUGCCUCUGGGUCAGAGAGAGGAGCAACACCCUGGAGUCUCCUCUCUUCCUGCCUCCAGGCUCCUCCCAGCGCUAUCCAUUGGCUCGACCCAACCUAAAGUCCAUCUCCCAGCAAGAAGUCUGCAAAAGGUGGUUUGCAAGAAUCAACACCCUGUGAUUCACAGCGCAGUAGAGGAGGAACAGGGGCUGGAUGAGGGAAAAGAGCAACUCACCAGCACACAGAGGGUUCCUGUGAACACCUCGGUUGAGAUUACAUCCUGAACUACCACACAGUAUACAAUCAGUGAAUGUAUAAUCGUCUCUGCUGCUGCUGCUGCUAAGUCGCUUCAGUCGUGUCAGACUCUGUGCAACCCCACAGACGGCAGCCCACCAGGCUCCCCCAUCCCUGGGAUUCUCCAGAUAUGCGCCCAGGAGUGGGAUUGCUGGAUCAUAUGGUACUCACUGAGCUUCCCAGAUGGUGGUACUGGUAAAGAAUCUGUCUGCUAAUGCAGGAGAUGCAAGAGAUGUGGGUUCAAUCCCUGGCUCAAGAGGAUCCCCUGAAGGAGAACAUGGCAACCCACUGCAGUAUUCUUGCCUGGAGAAUCCCCAUGGACAGAGGAGCUUGGCAGGCUACAGUCCACAGGGUCGCAGAGAGUCGGACAUGACUGAAGCAACUUAGCAGGCACUCAUGCAAGUACUUGCUGCUAUAUUGAUAAUGGAUAAUCAACAAGGACUUACUUUAUUGCACAGGGAAUUCCGCUCAUUGUUAUGUAUCAGGCUGGAUGGGAGGGGAGUUUGGGGGAGAAUGGAUCCAUUUAUAUGUAUGGCUGAGUCACUUUGCUGUCCAUCUGAAACUAUUGCAGCGUUUUUCAUCAGCUACACUCCAAUAUAAAAUAAAGUGUUUAAAAAAUAAAAAAAUGGGAGGUGGGAGAGGGGUUCAGGAUGGGGAACACAUGUACACCCAUGGCAGAUUCAUGUCAAUGUAUGGCAAAACCAAUACAAUAUUGUAAAGUAAUUAGCCUCCAAUUUAAAUAAAUUUAUAUUAAAAUAUGACAUAUAUUUUAUUUAUAUAUAAGCUUAUACAUAUUUUACAAUGAAAUAUAUUAAUUCCAUAACAAAAAGGUUAAAAUAUUCGUUAUGAUUAGAAUAGAUAUCAAUCUUUGUUAGAAACAUUUAAGAAGCAUGCAAACUGGCAUCUGUCUGGGGUGAUGGCUGUCCCACCUGCCUAGGGAAGACCUCCAAAGCUUUC